UGUGGGGUGGAGCAGCUGGCAGCUCGUCGGGUUCAUGUCCCGAAGGUCGUGGGUUCGAAUCCCAUCCCCGCUACAA
This 76-nucleotide transfer RNA is filed under the name Caudoviricetes sp. RNAcentral describes it as "tRNA-Met". It matches the Rfam family "tRNA". From Rfam's summary of the family: Transfer RNA (tRNA) molecules are approximately 80 nucleotides in length. Their secondary structure includes four short double-helical elements and three loops (D, anti-codon, and T loops). Further hydrogen bonds mediate the characteristic L-shaped molecular structure. tRNAs have two regions of fundamental functional importance: the anti-codon, which is responsible for specific mRNA codon recognition, and the 3' end, to which the tRNAs corresponding amino acid is attached (by aminoacyl-tRNA synthetases). tRNAs cope with the degeneracy of the genetic code in two manners: having more than one tRNA (with a specific anti-codon) for a particular amino acid; and 'wobble' base-pairing, i.e. permitting non-standard base-pairing at the 3rd anti-codon position. Lineage: Duplodnaviria; Heunggongvirae; Uroviricota; Caudoviricetes. The record is from RNAcentral.